Molecule: ribosomal RNA, 333 nt
Filed under: uncultured eukaryote
Lineage: Eukaryota
Description: partial 18S ribosomal RNA
Rfam family: Eukaryotic small subunit ribosomal RNA
Source: RNAcentral
CCCUUAGAUGUUCUGGGCUGCACGCGCGCUACACUGGUGCGUUCAGCGAGUUUAGCACCUUAACAGAUAUGUUUGGGUAAUCUUCUGAAAACGCACCGUGAUGGGGAUCGAUUAUUGUAAUUAUUAAUCGUCAACGAGGAAUUCCUAGUAAGUGUGAAUCAUCAGUUCGCGCUGAUUACGUCCCUGCCCUUUGUACACACCGCCCGUCGCUACUACCGAUUGAACGGUUUAGUGAGGGCCUCGGAUUGGUCUCGGCCCGCUCUUUACCGGGCGGCGCCGUUGGUCGAGAAGACGCUCGAACUUGAUCGUUUAGAGGAAGUAAAAGUCGUAACA